Molecule: ribosomal RNA, 253 nt
Filed under: uncultured bacterium
Lineage: Bacteria
Description: partial 16S ribosomal RNA
Rfam family: Bacterial small subunit ribosomal RNA
Source: RNAcentral
UACGAAGGGGGCUAGCGUUGCUCGGAAUCACUGGGCGUAAAGCGCACGUAGGCGGCUUUCUAAGUCAGGGGUGAAAUCCUGGAGCUCAACUCCAGAACUGCCUUUGAUACUGGAGAGCUCGAGUCCGGAAGAGGUGAGUGGAACUCCGAGUGUAGAGGUGAAAUUCGUAGAUAUUGGGAAGAACACCGGUGGCGAAGGCGGCGCUCUGGACCGAGACUGACGCUGAGGCGCGAAAGCGUGGGGAGCAAACAGG